RNAcentral lists this unclassified non-coding RNA (204 nucleotides) under soil metagenome. RNAcentral's name for it is "partial contains 5.8S ribosomal RNA, internal transcribed spacer 2, and large subunit ribosomal RNA". The record is from RNAcentral.
AACGAGGCCGACCUGCGGCUGAGUUACCUGCGGAGGGAUCAUUACCUAGAGUUGUAGGCUCUGCCUACCAUCUCUUACCCAUGUCUUUUGAGUACCUUCGUUUCCUCGGCGGGUCCGCCCGCCGAUUGGACAAUACUUAAACCCUUUGUAGUUGCAAUCAGCGUCUGAAAAAACUUAAUAGUUACAACUUUUAACAAUGGAUCU